AUUGAACGCUGGCGGCAGGCCUAACACAUGCAAGUCGAGCGAGCGGCGGACGGGUGAGUAAUGUCUGGGAAACUGCCUGAUGGAGGGGGAUAACUACUGGAAACGGUAGCUAAUACCGCAUCCCAUCAGAUGUGCCCAGAUGGGCUUAGCUAGUUGGUGGGGUAAGGGCUCACCUAGGCGACAAUCCCUAGCUGGUCUGAGAGGAUUACCAGCCACACUGGAACUGAGACACGGUCCAGACUCCUACGGGAGGCAGCAGUGGGGAAUAUUGCACAAUGGGCGCAAGCCUGAUGCAGCCAUGCCGCGUGUAUGAAGAAGGCCUUCGGGUUGUAAAGUACUUUCAGCGGGGAGGCGUUACCCGCAGAAGAAGCACCGGCUAACUCCGUGCCAGCAGCCGCGGUAAUAC
RNAcentral lists this ribosomal RNA (406 nucleotides) under uncultured bacterium. RNAcentral's name for it is "partial 16S ribosomal RNA". It matches the Rfam family "Bacterial small subunit ribosomal RNA", at positions 30 to 526 of the family's 1533-position model. The record is from RNAcentral.